This 1433-nucleotide ribosomal RNA is filed under the name metagenome. Its description in RNAcentral is "bacterial SSU rRNA". It matches the Rfam family "Bacterial small subunit ribosomal RNA". The record is from RNAcentral.
GGAUAAACGCUGGCGGCGUGCCUAACACAUGCAAGUCGAACGAAGAGGCCCCUUCGGGGGUACUUCAGUGGCGAAUGGGUGAGUAACACGUAGGUGACCUGCCCCGAAGCAGGGGAUAACGGCUCGAAAGGGCCGCUAAUACCCAAAAUGGUCGCGGUUCAAAUCGCGAUCAGAGCUAUGGCGUUUCGGGAGGGGCCUGCGGCCCAUCAGCUAGUUGGCAGGGUAAUGGCCUACCAAGGCGAUGACGGGUAGGGGGCCUGAGAGGGUGGCCCCCCACACUGGCACUGACACACGGGCCAGACUCCUACGGGAGGCAGCAGUGAGGAAUAUUGCGCAAUGGGCGAAAGCCUGACGCAGCAACGCCGCGUGGGUGAUGAAGGCCUUCGGGUCGUAAAACCCUUUUCAGGGGGAUGAGAGAGGACGGUACCCCCUGGAAUAAGGUUCGGCUAACUACGUGCCAGCAGCCGCGGUAAAACGUAGGAACCGAGCGUUAUCCGGAUUCACUGGGCGUAAAGCGCCUGCAGGCGGUCUUGUAAGUUGGAUGUGAAAUCUCCCGGCUUAACUGGGAGGGGCCAUUCAAUACUGUGAGACUUGAGGGCAGAAGAGGGAAGUGGAAUUCCCGGUGUAGUGGUGAAAUGCGUAGAUAUCGGGAGGAACACCAGUGGCGAAGGCGGCUUCCUGGUCUGCACCUGACGCUAAGAGGCGAAAGCUAGGGGAGCGAACGGGAUUAGAAACCCCGGUAGUCCUAGCCGUAAACGAUGGACGCUAGGUGUGGGUGGUCCUAACCCCAUCCGUGCCGAAGCCAACGCGUUAAGCGUCCCGCCUGGGGACUACGACCGCAAGGUUAAAACUCAAAGGAAUUGACGGGGGCCCGCACAAGCAGCGGAGCGUGUGGUUUAAUUCGAUACACGAAGAACCUUACCCGGGUUUGACAUGCAGGUGGUAGUGAAGCGAAAGUGGAACGACCCUUCGGGGAGCUUGCACAGGUGCUGCAUGGCUGUCGUCAGCUCGUGCCGUGAGGUGUUGGGUUAAGUCCCCUAACGAGCGCAACCCUCGCCGUCAGUUACAAGUGUCUGGCGGGACUGCCGGCCUAAAGCCGGAGGAAGGUGGGGAUGAUGUCAAGUCAGCAUGGCCUUUAUAUCCGGGGCUACACACACGCUACAAUGGCCAGUACAAUGGGUUGCCAACCCGCGAGGGGGAGCCAAUCCCACAAAGCUGGUCUCAGUUCGGAUUGGAGGCUGCAACCCGCCUCCAUGAAGCCGGAGUUGCUAGUAAACGCGCGUCAGCCAUAGUGCGUUGAAUACGUUCCCGGGCCUCGUACACACCGCCCGUCACGUCAUGGGAGCUGGCAACACCUGAAGCCGGUGAGCCAACCGCAAGGAGGCAGCCGUCUAAGGUGGGGCUGGUGACUGGGACGAAGUCGUAACAAGGUA